GGCAGAAGGUCCAGAAAGCAGCAGUGACUCUCCAGGCGUCUCUUCCCUCCGUCCUGGGGACAAGCAGAGCUGGGGAUGGUGCCUGCGUGGCCACCAGGCCCUAGAAUGAGAUCAGUGUGGACACGGGCACUGGCCCAGCCACAGGGGACGUGCGGAGGGCUGAACCCGGGCUGUUUUCUUUUCUUCAUUUUUCGGAAAGCAACAACCAACACCACUGGACCACAAAGAGACCUACAUGUCCCACCUGGCCGGGUGACUGGCUGGAUUUCUCCACCAUAAAGGCAGUGGCCGUUUCCCUUUGCACCUAACUGAUUCCCUUGAAGCUUUUCCGGCCCCAUGUGACUUGCUGUAGCCUUUAACUAAAUGCUCUUCGUUCUGCUGGAAGAAUGGGAAGAGGCUGACACCCUGCCCAGGAUUGACAGACACCGGGCUGCCAGUCCUGCCUUGACCUCUCUGAGCCUCAGGUCCCAGCUCCACAAAAUGGGACUAAACGGGGACUGGGUCAUCUCUAAGGUCCUCCCAGCUUUGUCAUCGCCCAAUUUAGGUUGUGACUCUGUCUAGAGGUUACUGUGUCCGUACUAUCAUUGUCUUUUUGGUAACAGCCCUUCACUUAAUCAACGGGGCAGGUAGUUUGGGGAAAGUAUCUCUCAGAGUCCGCCAGGCACAACGGGGCAGGAAGUAGGAGCUUGAGUUUUCUCUGGUGAAUGGCCGUGGGACCGCUGGUCUCAGUGCUCACAAAUAGGAACCUGCCCUGUCUUAUUCUGUCCACUUUUGGGGAAAGGUCUUUAUACUAUUAGAAGUUCAUGAACACAUUAAAACAAUCAAA
Lemur catta (Ring-tailed lemur) is the source of this 826-nucleotide long non-coding RNA. RefSeq lists it as uncharacterized. The transcript is spliced from 3 exons. NCBI's taxonomy places the organism in Eukaryota, Metazoa, Chordata, Mammalia, Primates, Lemuridae. The record is from RefSeq and is a predicted model, not a curated record.